This 460-nucleotide ribosomal RNA is filed under the name uncultured bacterium. Its description in RNAcentral is "partial 16S ribosomal RNA". It matches the Rfam family "Bacterial small subunit ribosomal RNA", at positions 338 to 795 of the family's 1533-position model. The record is from RNAcentral.
CCUACGGGAGGCAGCAGUGAGGAAUAUUGGUCAAUGGACGAGAGUCUGAACCAGCCAAGUAGCGUGAAGGAUGACUGCCCUAUGGGUUGUAAACUUCUUUUAUAUGGGAAUAAAACGUUCCACGUGUGGGAUUUUGUAUGUAACAUAUGAAUAAGGAUCGGCUAACUCCGUGCCAGCAGCCGCGGUAAUACGGAGGAUCCGAGCGUUAUACGGAUUUAUUGGGUUUAAAGGGAGCGUAGGUGGAUUGUUAAGUCAGUUGUGAAAGUUUGCGGCUCAACCGUAAAAUUGCAGUUGAAACUGGCAGUCUUGAGUACAGUAGAGGUGGGCGGAAUUCGUGGUGUAGCGGUGAAAUGCUUAGAUAUCACGAAGAACUCCGAUUGCGAAGGCAGUUCACUGGACUGCAACUGACACUGAGGCUCGAAAGUGUGGGUAUCAAACAGGAUUAGAUACCCUAGUAGUC